RNAcentral lists this ribosomal RNA (699 nucleotides) under uncultured Bacilli bacterium. RNAcentral's name for it is "bacterial SSU rRNA". It matches the Rfam family "Bacterial small subunit ribosomal RNA", at positions 62 to 732 of the family's 1533-position model. The record is from RNAcentral. Lineage: Bacteria; Bacillati; Bacillota; Bacilli.
UCGAACGCUUCUUUUUCCACCGGAGCUCGCUCCACCGGAAAAAGAGGAGUGGCGAACGGGUGAGUAACACGUGGGUAACCUGCCCAUCAGAAGGGGAUAACACUUGGAAACAGGUGCUAAUACCGUAUAACAAUCGAAACCGCAUGGUUUUGAUUUGAAAGGCGCUUUCGGGUGUCGCUGAUGGAUGGACCCGCGGUGCAUUAGCUAGUUGGUGAGGUAACGGCUCACCAAGGCCACGAUGCAUAGCCGACCUGAGAGGGUGAUCGGCCACAUUGGGACUGAGACACGGCCCAAACUCCUACGGGAGGCAGCAGUAGGGAAUCUUCGGCAAUGGACGAAAGUCUGACCGAGCAACGCCGCGUGAGUGAAGAAGGUUUUCGGAUCGUAAAACUCUGUUGUUAGAGAAGAACAAGGAUGAGAGUAACUGUUCAUCCCUUGACGGUAUCUAACCAGAAAGCCACGGCUAACUACGUGCCAGCAGCCGCGGUAAUACGUAGGUGGCAAGCGUUGUCCGGAUUUAUUGGGCGUAAAGCGAGCGCAGGCGGUUUCUUAAGUCUGAUGUGAAAGCCCCCGGCUCAACCGGGGAGGGUCAUUGGAAACUGGGAGACUUGAGUGCAGAAGAGGAGAGUGGAAUUCCAUGUGUAGCGGUGAAAUGCGUAGAUAUAUGGAGGAACACCAGUGGCGAAGGCGGCUCUCUGG